Molecule: ribosomal RNA, 790 nt
Filed under: uncultured archaeon
Lineage: Archaea
Description: bacterial SSU rRNA
Rfam family: Archaeal small subunit ribosomal RNA
Source: RNAcentral
ACGGCUCAGUAACACGUCAAUAAUCUGACCUUAGGUCUGGAAUACCCUUGGGAAACUGAGGCUAAAACCGGAUAGGUAAAAGAUACUGUAAUGUUCUUUUGCUUAAAAGCAAUGCCUAAGGAUGAGUUGGCGGCUGAUUAGGCAGUUGGUAGUGUAACGGACUACCAAACCUAUAAUCAGUACGGGCCGUGAGAGCGGUAGCCCGGAGAGGGGUACUUAGACACUGACCCCAGCCCCACGGGGUGCAGCAGGCGCGAAACCUUUACACUGCACGAAAGUGUGAUAAGGGAAUCCCAAGCGCUUGUACAUAGUACAGGCUUUUGCCAAGAUUAAAGAUCUUGGCGAAUAAGUGGUGGGCAAGACUGGUGCCAGCCGCCGCGGUAAUACCAGCGCCACAAGUGGGGGUCGCGAUUAUUGGGCCUAAAGCGUCCGUAGCCGGUCUGUUAAAUCCUUUGUGAAAUCGCCGAGCUUAACUCGGCGGCGUGCAGAGGAGACUGGCAGACUUGGAACCGGGAGGGGUCAGGGGUAUUCUGUGGGGAGCGGUAAAAUGCUAUAAUCCUCAGAGGACCACCUGUGGCGAAGGCGCCUGACCAGAACGGAUUCGACGGUGAGGGACGAAAGCUAGGGGAGCGAUCCGGAUUAGAUACCCGAGUAGUCCUAGCUGUAAACGCUGCGAGCAAGGUGUUGCGUAUUCUUCAUGAAUGCGCAGUGUCGAAGAGAAGUCGUUAAGCUCGCCGCCUGGGAAGUACGGUCGCAAGACUGAAACUUAAAGGAAUUGGCGGGGGAGCAC